Bombus impatiens (common eastern bumble bee) is the source of this 763-nucleotide long non-coding RNA. RefSeq lists it as uncharacterized. The transcript has 2 exons. The record is from RefSeq and is a predicted model, not a curated record. NCBI's taxonomy places the organism in Eukaryota, Metazoa, Arthropoda, Insecta, Hymenoptera, Apidae.
UGGUUGGCUAAAAUUCCUUUUUGAUAGAAAUGUUAAAAAAUAGAAAUUCCAUGUGCCCCAAAAAAAUGUUCGGCUUAGUCUUUUAAAAAUAAUACGCUCGUUUCAUAGCUCUUUGUUUAAACUUAUUUUUAAUUUACGACACCGAGGAAAUUUGAGCGAGGAUAUCGCAAACUUGCAAAUUUAUUUGCUUGUCGCGCUUGUAAAAUAAACAUAAAUGCAUAUUGGAAAUAUAAAAGGACACGAACGUAUUAAAGUUCGUAAAAGAUAGAGUUCGUAGAGUUCGAUUGCGUCAUGCCAAAGUAUUACAGAAGAUAGGAUAGCAUUGGAAAGGUAUGUGAUUAAUAAAAAAAAUCUCGUGCUCGUAUUUUCAAUCGCUAUCGUUCAUUAAGGCGGCUGGCUUUCAUUAAAAAUUCACGGACAGACAUCGGUCUCCGACACUUUCUCUGCCAGUGCCAAUGUUGCUGAUUACACAAUACAACCACGCCUCAUACGCAUCGUUCGUGUGUAAUGCACGUAAUGUGAGCCAUUGCGUUAAUCGGGAACUUCAGGCAAACCAGAUUCAUGCAAUGGUGCAAACCUUGAUCCACUUACGAUCCGACAUAUUUACAGAUUUUGAAAAAACUUACUUAUGUAUAGUUACAUAAUCUUCUGCAAGGACAUUAGAUGUGUCUAAAGGUGUCAGAAAUGUGAAUUGACUCUGUGGAUGCAUUUUAGUAUGAUCCAAAAGAAUAUCCAUUAUAAUUCGGCGAUUUACCUUAUCCUG